GAUGAACGCUGGCGGCGUGCCUAACACAUGCAAGUCGAACGGAGUUUAUUCGCUGCAGAGGCUUCGGCCAAAGCUUGAAUAAACUUAGUGGCGGACGGGUGAGUAACGCGUGGGCAACCUGCCUCGUACUGGGGGAUAACAGUUGGAAACGACUGAUAAUACCGCAUAAGCGCACAGUAUCGCAUGAUACAGUGUGAAAAACUCCGGUGGUACGAGAUGGGCCCGCGUCAGAUUAGCCAGUUGGCAGGGUAACGGCCUACCAAAGCGACGAUCUGUAGCCGGCCUGAGAGGUCGGACGGCCACAUUGGGACUGAGACACGGCCCAGACUCCUACGGGAGGCAGCAGUGGGGAAUAUUGGGCAAUGGGCGAAAGCCUGACCCAGCAACGCCGCGUGAGUGAAGAAGUAUUUCGGUAUGUAAAGCUCUAUCAGCAGGGAAGAAAGACCCGCAAGGGAGAUGACGGUACCUGACUAAGAAGCCCCGGCUAACUACGUGCCAGCAGCCGCGGUAAUACGUAGGGGGCAAGCGUUAUCCGGAUUUACUGGGUGUAAAGGGAGCGCAGACGGAAUAGCAAGUCUGAAGUGAAACCCCACGGCUCAACCGUGGGCUUGCUUUGGAAACUGUUAUUCUAGAGUACUGGAGAGGUAAGCGGAAUUCCUAGUGUAGCGGUGAAAUGCGUAGAUAUUAGGAGGAACAUCGGUGGCGAAGGCGGCUUACUGGACAGCAACUGACGUUGAGGCUCGAAGGCCC
This 750-nucleotide ribosomal RNA is filed under the name uncultured bacterium. RNAcentral describes it as "bacterial SSU rRNA". It matches the Rfam family "Bacterial small subunit ribosomal RNA", at positions 28 to 762 of the family's 1533-position model. The record is from RNAcentral.